RNAcentral lists this long non-coding RNA (1664 nucleotides) under Canis lupus familiaris (dog). Its description in RNAcentral is "lncRNA (ENSCAFG00845007161.1)". The record is from RNAcentral. Lineage: Eukaryota; Metazoa; Chordata; Mammalia; Carnivora; Canidae.
UUUUUUUUUUUUUUUUUUUUUUUAAUCAAUAUGUUCAUUUGGGUUUGCUUACUUGACCCUGUGGAGACCCCACACACCACCCCCCACAGCAAUUGGGCAUCCUAAGUGAAUUUGGCCUUGAUUGGGCUCUGCCAAAGACUAAAAUGUGAAACAGCCUCUCACCCUGUACCCUUGUCUUUCCAUUAGAACACCCUUUAAAUUAUAAGCAUCCUUUUUAAAAAGAGCUAUGAAGAUGAUGAGCUCAUCCUUUUAUUCACUGACUCUAAGAGUCAAAUUUUCUAGUGCAUCUCCUAUUGCCAUCAUAAGGAUGAGAACGGGAAAAGGGUGUUACUUCUGUGUACAGCAGAGACAUUAAACUUGCUGUAUCUAGGCUGCAUCAUCAUCCUGGAUUGUUUCUGUUGUUCUCAUGUUCACAUUUUGUCCUGCGACUUUGAAGCUACUAUCUUUUUUUAAGUGUGCUAUAUAAACACCAAAUUUGGGUACCAUUUUAUCACUGUUCAAAGCACUAUGAAAUUCCUUUCAUCCUCCCGUGACUCUGAGAUUCUUAAAUCUUUGGUCUGAUUUUUGGUGGACACAGAUAGAACCAUGGACAUUUCUUCAGAACCACAGAUGUUCUACAAAAAGUCCUUUUCUGUGUGUCUUCUGUCACCCUAACUGCGGAGUUACUUUGAUUGGUUGUUUUGGUUUUUGUUUUAAUAUCUGGCUGGCACUUUACUCAUUGCACUUGAGUUUACUGCCCCAUAACUAAAGAAUUCAGGAUGACUUUAGAAAGGAGAUCUGGGUUUGAGAUUUCCCAUCUAAGAAGAAAAUGUCCUAGAAUUCCUGGUUCUUUUCCAGUCAGUCCCCUACUUCUAUUUACAGCAUUUUCUUUACCUUGUCCAAAAUUUAACCAUGAAGCAGUUUUCCUCUGUGGCUUUGCCAUUCUCAUUUUCUCAGAGGCUUCAGGUCUUGAAUGAAAUCCCAACAUAAAAGAACCAAGGCCAAGUAGGAGGGGGGGAUGGCACUUUUUGGGGUUUGGGGGUUGGGUUUUUUUGUUUAUUGGGGUUUUUGUUUGUUUUUUGGUUUAAGAUUAGCCACUCUCUGCUGCUAUUUCUUUGUAUAAUGUAAGUUUUUAACUGCAAUUUUGAGAUAAUUAAGAUGUACUUGAGGCUUUUUUCUUUACCUUUUUUUUUUUUUUUAAACGAGAAAAGGCUUUGCGAAUCUUAUUUUAGGAUGGGCCUCUUCUAGACUUGUCCUAGACAUUACCUAUUCCUCGGGUCAUAUUGGAAAGCAAGAGAAGGGCAGGUUUGGGGUCCCAGCCACUUGUUCAGCACAGACCAGGUGGGCCUUGGGGAUUGCAGCAUUCUGCGGAGGCGGCUCCAGGACUGAUUGACCGAAAGCCAAGGAGGUGCAAGUUGAGGCUCUACUAGCAGAGCUGCCUAUGAGACUUUCAGGUAGCUGACUCUCUACAUGGGAGAUUGGAGGCCAGAUUCUGCCAUUUUCCCCACCAACAACAGCAAAGGAAAAAGUGGUGCAAUUAUGCAAUCCAUUUAACUCAUAAACCUAGAACCCUAAGUAACUAUGGCCAGCCAUUCAUCGGAUCCUUGAUUGGGUAGUCCUGAAAUCAGACAUGUUCCUGUAGAAAGAAUUUUAAGUGAGGCUGUCUAUGCACCUAUCAAGAAUAA